This is a long non-coding RNA of Raphanus sativus (radish), 316 nucleotides long. RefSeq lists it as uncharacterized. The transcript has 2 exons. The record is from RefSeq and is a predicted model, not a curated record. Lineage: Eukaryota; Viridiplantae; Streptophyta; Magnoliopsida; Brassicales; Brassicaceae.
UUGCUUUCUGUGUUGACUUUUUAGCUCUUUUGUAAAUUAAGUACUCAUGUAGUUUGGUGAUGUUUAUUGCAGUCUCUGUCAAAGAGGAUCAAUUACGGUAAAUUUGUUGCAGAGGCCAAGUUCCAGCCUCACCUAAGGCAUACGAGUCUGCCAUCAAAGCACAAGUUGGAAUGUACAAGAGCCCUGAUGAACAUCCUUUUUUCCCUGGCGAUUUACUAGAGAGAUUUAAAGAUCGAGUUUUUACUGUGUUUUUAGCAAAGAAACUGAAACAAAACUUGUUUGAACUGUGUUUUAAUGGAAUCAGUUUGCUUUCUUA